Non-coding RNA from Danio rerio (zebrafish), 72 nucleotides. Lineage: Eukaryota; Metazoa; Chordata; Actinopteri; Cypriniformes; Danionidae. The record is from Rfam.
GCCCCAGUGGCCUAAUGGAUAAGGCACUGGCCCCCUAAGCCAGGGAUUGUGGGUUGAGUCCCAUCUAUGAUG